Molecule: small nuclear RNA, 106 nt
Organism: Sciurus carolinensis (gray squirrel)
Lineage: Eukaryota; Metazoa; Chordata; Mammalia; Rodentia; Sciuridae
Source: RefSeq, a predicted model, not a curated record
GUGCUUGAUUCAGAAGUGCAUGUACUAAAAUUGCAACCAUAGGAGAAGAUUAGCAUGGUCCCUGCGAAAGGAUGACACGCAAAUUUGUAAAGCGUUCCAUAUUAAG